Molecule: long non-coding RNA, 5719 nt
Organism: Clupea harengus (Atlantic herring)
Lineage: Eukaryota; Metazoa; Chordata; Actinopteri; Clupeiformes; Clupeidae
Source: Ensembl
AAGCAGUGAAAAUAAAUUGUCUGUAUUUCUCUCUAUUCUUAUCAUGAGUCCACCUUAAUCAUUUUCUACAAUAAUGAUAUGCUAUGGUGUACUAAAGACAGUCAAUGUUCGACUGUGGUGUUUGCAAUAAAUGACUCGAGAAGGUCUUGUAAAUUAAUGAUUCCUUGUCGGCUGAAUCGGUAGCGCUCAUACAAGAAUAAUGGAUCUUGGCGAUCGCAAAGAACUCUCUCCCUCCGCUAAUCUAACUCUAAUAUCAGUCCUUGGUCAAUGGGAUCCCUCCUUUUUCCGGGGGUGUGGCAAACUUAUCCAGCUACACUUAAGUUAGCCUGCCCUGGAGCAGGUUAGUGCUAAUCGAUAUGUAACUAUGGUGAUUUAUCAAAAGUUGCUUCCACGAACCAAAAAGAGGGGCGUUUUUUUUAUCUUAGCCUGAAAAUUAGCUCGCUAAACCGCUUAGCGAGCUACGACGAAUACCCCCCAGGAGUUGGGAGUGCUACCAAACACACAACAAGUUCUGAUUGCGUAAAAGUUUAGAUAACACAAAUAAACUUCACAUUCAGCCUCUCGACGCCUGUUUGUGGAUCGUUGCUAGUUUCUCCGCAACAUAUCAUUUGUAAACAUGAACUAUGUCAAACUCAAUAGUUAGUCAGAAAGAAACAAGACACAAUUCAGACAUGAUUAAUUAGAGAAUAUUAUACUCUUAUAUUAUAUUAUAUUAUAAGCAUGAUAAGUGAGAGAGGGACAUUUAUAUUUCUGUCAUGUCUGUGCGAUAUAGCCCAUACCUCGAAACUGCAAUGAAAGACGCCAGUUAUAAUGUUGGUUGGUGGUAUAAUGUCAACAUGUCUUUUUUACUGAGAUUAUCUUAUCUCACGUGUAACAAAUAGUCGCCACACUGAAACUCGACUCGAUAUGACUGCACAUCUCAGUCAAGCAUUGUGCAUGUUCUAACCUGUUAGCAAGGGCACUGACAUGAAAAUCAACAGGUAACGCAGCCACCACACACACUCAACGCAGGCAGUGUGAAACGGGCCCUAAUGUGCCAUAGUAUCUGAACAUGCUUCACAUGCAGGUCUGUCAAUGUCUGUGGAAUGGUGUGGGGCUCAUGUUGUGACUGAGGUUGGUUCUCCUGUUGAGGUCUCUAGUCCAUAGCCAAAGACCGGUCUGAGGGUGUCCUGAUGCAGGUGUUUGACAGUAACAGUCUCUGUAGUCACAGACUGGUGGAUUGGCAGUCUCUCAUGGAGACAGUGUUGGGAGUACAGCAGGCCCGUCCUCUGUAAUCCAUCUGCCGUCUCUGGAACACUGUUACUGAUGUCUCUAGAACACUGGAGUAGGCAGCCAGUUCUAGGGCAGGGAAUCACCCGCUAACGACUCUGCUUCAGCUUCUCCAGGAGCUCCAACUGAAAAGACAGGCCAAUAAUGGUCACUCCUUAUGCAGUGUUUACACAAUAAAGACAGUGAUCAAAGGUUAUCUCACUGAGUCACAUUCAAUCACAUUACAAUCACACUGAAGCCUCAAAAAAGCAAACAAAAGCAAAAAGAUAUAAGUCUGAAAUAGGGUACUGUUAAAUGAGAAACCUACAACCUUAUGACCUUACAAAAGCUUUCCUGUCACCAUAAUCACCAUAAAUUAUAAGGUAGGCCACUUAAUUAAAAUUGGAAUAUAAUAACAUGAAAUGUUUAAUUAAAAAGUAUUUUACGUGCUGUUGUUAUUAUAGAAAUGUUCACGCCUCAAGUCAUUUUAUUUUGAGGAGGCCAGGUGUCCUCUAGGAGUCGCCACUGAUCAGAAGUCAUAAAAAAAAGCAUAUGAGAAUAUGUAAAAAAAAUUAUUUUGUCCUUCGUCUAAUGCUAAUAAGCAGCUUCUGGUUGAUAUGUUGUGUCUGCUUUAGGUUAGCAAACAUUUUACUAACUUUAACUUCAGAUAGUAGUAGCUAACCCUAAUCCUAACCCUAGAUUAAGAUAUGUGGAAUAAUUGGGCAAAGCAAUUAAUAUUACAAUUGUUUUAAAGUGAAAUCAAUUUUUGCUAAUUUUCAAGUUUAAUCAACUUAUUUUUUUUAAGGCAAUCGGUUUCCUACAUUUUUUAAGUAAAUUCAACUUAUCCGAAGUUACAGUGUACACUGUGUCAGAAUGAAAUGAUUUGAGAAGUGAAAGUGUACUUUCACAUCACUAUAUGUCAAUAAUGCACAUGAAUGCUGCCGAGGGGGAGACAAACACACAUCAAACACAGUCCAUUGAGAGCAAAUCAAACUUACACAUAGGAAUAAGAAACCUUCAUGGUCCUUGUCUUGUCAAUAUGUAAUGCCUCUCUCUGCACAUAUUGAAUUGCAAAUGUUCAAAUAUUUUGAUUUAUAUUUAUAUUGAUUUAGAUGUUUUUGCUUUGCAUGCACUGGUAUUUCCUUUAGGCAAUGCAAAUCUAGUUAAUUAAAGAUGUGUUCCUGUAGGUUACUUUAUUUAUGAAAAUAAACAUUAAAGAUGUGUUGCUGUAGGUUACUUUAAUUAUGAAAAUAAACAUUAAAGAUGUGUUCCUGUAGGUUACUUUAUUUAUGAAAAUAAAAAUAAAUACUGUUGGUGAGAGGGACACUCUUUUUGUAGCUCGAGCUCCUGUCCCCUAAAAUGUGUGUGCAUGGCCCUGACAUACACAUACGCACACACGGACGGACAUAUACAACAUUGUAUAUAUAUAUACAAAAGAGUACUAACCAUAGUCUAGACUUAGGUUUAUGGGUUGCUGUUGGUGGCGGCUUCUCUGCUUCAGUAACAACCAUGACAAUGUUAUGUUUAAACCCAGAGAUGUCAACAGUAUGACCAGCAUACCAUAUCCAGAUGUCGCUGAAGCACAAAACACAUUGAGCAGAACACUGUCACACAGAGAUCCAGAUGUCGCUGAAGCACAAAACACAUUGAGCAGAACACUGUCACACAGAGAUCCAGAUGUCGCUGAAGCACAAAACACAUUGAGCAGAACACUGUCACACAGAGAUCCAGAUGUCGCUGAAGCACAAAACACAUUGAGCAGAACACUGUCACACAGAGAUCCAGAUGUUGCUGAAGCACAAAACACAUUGAGCAGAACACUGUCACACAGAGAUCCAGAUGUCGCUGAAGCACAAAACACAUUGAGCAAAACACUGUCACACAGAGAUAACAAAGGUCAUGAGUGUGUUUGGAGAGAUUCAAAACUGCUGCAAGUGCCCUGCGACAGAGUAAUUGCAAAAUCAUUGCUCACCAUAUCUGAUUCACACCACCCACUGAGUAUGUACUUUUGAGUGAAUAAAACCUGGAGGGUAUGUACUUUUGAGUGAAUAAAUAUGUGAGGCUGUCAUUUCAAUGUCUACCAAAAACUGUGGAUACUUCAAAAUCCAAGAAUUGGGUGAAUGGGGAUGGGAGAGGGGGACUUAAAGUCACAGGAGCUCUGAUAGAUUCUUUCAGACAGAGGUUGAAUAGAUAUGUCUGAGGAAAAAAGUUGUUUUUGUAACACUGAAGCAUGUAAAUCUAUUCUAAGAGACCAAAAUUAAAUUAUGAUGCAUAAUGGGUCCUCUUUAAACAGACAAAGGAGUGUGCUAUGGGGGGCUUUCAAUAGUCCUUCUUAUGGAGGUCCUACACCUGGGUACAUGGUAAGAAGACCUUGUGUUAAACCAUGACAGAAACAGCUUUUUGAAGUACAUCUGAUGGGGACUGAACAUUGAUGAUGAUCCAUCUGUUUGGGUCUUGUUCAGAAACAGAGCUACAGGGUUUGGACUAUAUUAACCCUAACAUCAAGCUGUCUCUGGAGUACAGCAAGGAGAGCGUACAUUUUUUAGGUCUUAUGAGCACUUACAUUUUAUAUCUUAUCUUUAAAUCAAGGGAUUUUGUGUACAUCUAUAUUUAGGAGAGCAACAAACAGAAAUACCAUACUUCAUGACAGAAGCUUCAAUACCAGUUGGCUAAAAGGGAACGUGAAAUGUCUCAUGGCUAGUUCAAACGAGUGGAGAAUUUGUGACCAAGAGUUUGAUGCCAAAUCUAAGGAUAUGGUAUCACGCUUUCAGGAAUGGGGAUAUAAAAACACUAAACGGCCAAAAACAUCACUAACACUCUGGUUUAGUGACCUGAUGUUAUUCCUAAAAUUAGAUCAAAUAAGAGGAUCAUCUAAAUCACUAAAUCAUUCCUGAAAAUCUGGAUCCCCUGAAGUUGUACAUAAGACUCUCCCAUCAGAUGAAGAGAGUUAAUGAUUAAGCAGUGGACCUGACUGUUUUGCACUAUACAAAUGUAUUAUCCUCCUGCUCUUCCCUCCCUUUGGGGGGAAGUAUGUGUUGGGUUGGGAUGGACAGUGUUGUGCAGGUUCACACCUCUCAUGAACUAGUUCAAAGUUCAGUUCAUACAAGUAAACAUGAAUCGUUCACGUUCAUAGUUCACCAUUUAAAUUCUGAACUAGUUCAUAGUUCAGUUCAUUUUCAUUUUUUUUUUUUAUUAUUGCUAAUUUUUCAGGAGGACAUAAUUUGCACAGAAAGGUGAGAUUUUUUACUGUCGGAAACUUUAUCAGACAGUGUGUAAAAAUCCUGCACAUAAUAAUAAGGUGGAUCGGAUGUAGGCCUACUCGCUGAGUCUGCGCCUCUGUUUUCGCUUUCACUUGCCAUUUUUAUAUUGACACCGAGAGCUGUUGCCUUGGAAUACGUUGCUUGUUUGGUAUACAUGUGUGUGCGAUGAUUCAUGGGUAAUGUAGGGCGAAGUGGAGUUAGUUGGUUUAGGUAUCGCAGAAAUUAUACGGGUACUGUUAUAGAGGGAAAUGUGUAAUCACUGAGGGUCAUCCGAUUAGAAUGGAAAAGAAUGGAGACUUGGAUAUUCAGUUUGAUUCUUCACUCUUUGUAUUGCAUUAACAACAAUGAAUGGGAUAAAUUGUAGGUGGGUGUAUGUUUGUAUGUGUGUGUGUGUGUGUGAGUGAAAGUAAAGUACAAACAGAAAAUAUACAUUAAUACACAGCCGUGUAGUAGCCUACCAUUUAAAUAAUGAAUUAUACAGGGAACUAAAGGUAAUAAUUUAACCUCUUCAGCAAUGCCAUGCUACUGGCUUAAUCUCAGAUCAACAAGGCCAUGUACACUAAAUGAAAGACCGCGCAAAAGUUAGCAUAGGUAAACCCUGUAACACUCGUAUUUGUACAUUAGCAGCUUAUGCUAAGCGAGUUCACGAACAGUGCAUCAUGCUAGAUUAAUUAAGUGACAGUGCUCGUAACAAUUAUGAGAAAGCUAAACUAUAACAAACACAUAAUGACAAGGUAGGCUACAAAGUCAAACUCACGUGUACAUGGACGCACACAACUUCAACAAAGUGCAACGUUCAACUAGAAAAUGCAUUUCCUGAAGGAAAUACCAGUGCAUGAAAUGCAAAAGUUAAGAAAGGAAGAAGAAAAGAAAGAAGAGUGAAAGAAGGAAAGAAGAAAGGAAAGAAGAGUAAAAGAAGGAAAGAAGAGUGGAAGAAGGAAAUAAUAAAGGAAAGAAUAAAGGAAACAAGAAUGAAGAAAAGAAAGAAGAGUGAAAGAAGGAAAGAAGCGAAGAAAGAAAAGAAGAGUGGAAGAAGAAAAGAAGAGUGGAAGAAGGAAAGAAGAGUGGAAAAAAGGAAAGAAGAGUGAAGAAAGAAAAGAAGAGUAGAAGAAGGAAAGAAGAGUGGAAGAAGGAAAGAAGAAAGGAAAGGAGAGUGGAAGAAGGAAAGAAGAGUGGAAGAAGGAAAGAAGAAAGGAAAGGAGAGUGGAAGA